GACGAACGCUGGCGGCGUGCCUAAUACAUGCAAGUGGGACGCAAGAGAACACACUGUGCUUGCACACCGUGUUUUCUUGAGUCGCGAACGGGUGAGUAACGCGUAGGUAACCUGCCUAUUAGCGGGGGAUAACUAUUGGAAACGAUAGCUAAUACCGCAUAAUAUUAAUUAUUGCAUGAUAAUUGAUUGAAAGAUGCAAGCGCAUCACUAGUAGAUGGACCUGCGUUGUAUUAGCUAGUUGGUAAGGUAAGAGCUUACCAAGGCGACGAUACAUAGCCGACCUGAGAGGGUGAUCGGCCACACUGGGACUGAGACACGGCCCAGACUCCUACGGGAGGCAGCAGUAGGGAAUCUUCGGCAAUGGACGAAAGUCUGACCGAGCAACGCCGCGUGAGUGAAGAAGGUUUUCGGAUCGUAAAGCUCUGUUGUAAGUCAAGAACGUGUGUGAU
This 449-nucleotide ribosomal RNA is filed under the name Streptococcus mutans. RNAcentral's name for it is "bacterial SSU rRNA". It matches the Rfam family "Bacterial small subunit ribosomal RNA", at positions 28 to 459 of the family's 1533-position model. Lineage: Bacteria; Bacillati; Bacillota; Bacilli; Lactobacillales; Streptococcaceae. The record is from RNAcentral.